UACGGGGGGGGCAAGCGUUGUUCGGAAUUACUGGGCGUAAAGGGUUUGUAGGUGGCUAAUUAAGUCAGACGUGAAAUCCCUCAGCUUAACUGGGGAACUGCGUCUGAUACUGGUUGGCUUGAGUGCAGGAGAGGAAUGCGGAAUUCCAGGUGUAGCGGUGAAAUGCGUAGAUAUCUGGAGGAACACCGGUGGCGAAGGCGGCGUUCUGGACUGCAACUGACACUGAGAAACGAAAGCCAGGGGAGCAAACGGG
RNAcentral lists this ribosomal RNA (253 nucleotides) under uncultured bacterium. RNAcentral describes it as "partial 16S ribosomal RNA". It matches the Rfam family "Bacterial small subunit ribosomal RNA", at positions 524 to 776 of the family's 1533-position model. The record is from RNAcentral.